CCUCUCUGCUCAGAUUUGGCAAUGAUGUGGGUCCUUCCACCCAUUAAAGAGCCAUUAAUGUCACCGUUGAGCUGGCUGGUGUGGCAUUCUGCCCGUUUCGAGAUCCCUGACUCAGCCAGCAAUAACGACAAUUCUGAAAGGUAUUGUUUUACCAUCGCAGUGCAGCACAACAGAAUGCAGGGCUUUUCUUCGAGAUUCCUGUCUGUAAUGCUCCUCAAGAAAUUCCAGAAUCACCUCCAAAUCGGUCUGAUAUUCUUCCGGACUGUUCUGGGUUUAACUGCUCUUGAACAUCUGUGGCAAACCUUGGAAUAGUUUCCUGUCUGCUGUGAAUGAUAAAAGGUGGGAAACGGCUUGAAGUGUAUGAAAACUCACAAGAGCGGUCACAUCAGAUGACAUAAGCAUCCAAGUCAACAACUUGACCAUGGAAAAAACAGCUGAGCAGUAGAUUGAACGUUUGAUGAAA
Long non-coding RNA from Carassius carassius (crucian carp), 463 nucleotides. RefSeq lists it as uncharacterized. NCBI's taxonomy places the organism in Eukaryota, Metazoa, Chordata, Actinopteri, Cypriniformes, Cyprinidae. The record is from RefSeq and is a predicted model, not a curated record. The transcript has 4 exons.